AUCAGCGCCGUCCACUCGCGGCCGAAGCCCCUUUCCGCCAGCACCCUGCGCAAUUCCCGGCUGUUCGCCCGCGGCCCGGGGGACACGGAGCCGAGCGGAGGCGGCACCAGGAGCCCGGCGAGAGCCCCGGACACGCCGGGAACUCCGGACCGCGGCACCCGGGCCAAGCUGAGCCCCGGAGCCCCCCGGGAGUGUUUGUAGGAGAACGGGACGGACACGGAUCCGAGGCACCUGGGCAGCUCUUCCUCCUCAAGUCCUGAGCUCCAAUCCACACCCGAGGGAUGGAGGAUCAGGAUCCUCCCCAGGCUGUCCCUUGUCUCUCCACCGUCCCAGUUCACAGCCCCGUUCCCGGUUACUGCAGGACUAUUUGGGGAGUCUCCCAUUCCCCUCUCCAGGGUUCCCUCCCCACGGGAUUGUGCCUGGCAGGAGGGAAAUGUCCCCAGCCCAGUUUUAGCUUCGGUCCCUUUGCUGGUGUGGCCAAACCCUUUCCCUGAUCCCAGGGUGAUCCUUCCAAGGAAAGAAUCACUCAGAUUUCCACACUGUGGGAGAGGAAGGAAAACAACCGCAGGGAUGGAUUUGUCACCUGGAUUGACAGAUCUGGUGACACCCUGGGGGUCCCUCGGCCACCUCAGGGUAUUUCCCUGCCUUUGUGGGGGGACCCCCAUUCCUUCAGCAAAGCUAAAACGCCUCAAAACUGAUUUCCAUAAUCCCUUCCUCUUUCCAGACUCCACACAGCAGUUCCAGCUCCUAAAAUUGGGAUGUCAGUUCUUAUUUAACUGCACUGGGAACAGCCUGGUUUGGGGUGGGAGGGACCUCAAAACUCAUCCCAUUCCACCCCCAUGGGCAGGGACACCUCCCACUGUCCCAGGGUUCUCCAAACCCCAAUGUCCAGCCUGGCCUUGGGCACUUUCAGGGAUCCAGGGGCGCACCCACAGCUUCUCUGGGAAAUCCAUUCCAGGCCCUCCCCAUCCUCACAGGGAGGAAUUUCCUUCCUAAAAUCCAAUCCAAAUCCUCCCUCUUUCAGCCUAAAGCUGGAGAACUCCCUCGCCUUUGUAUUUAUUGACCUCAGCUUGUACCUGACCCGGCUGCCCCGAUGGGCUGAUCCCAAUCCCAAUCCUGAUCUCAACCUUGAUCCCAACCCCAAUCCCAGUUCUCCAGAGCUCCCGAAGCCAGCCCUGGAAGUGCCCCUUGGCCACACUCGGGGAUGCUGUGGCCUCUUCCCAUCCCAGUAUUUUCCCUCCUGGCUCCAGCCCCCCCUAAUUCCCGGAUUCCCGGUCCCCAUUCCCACAUUCCCGUAGGACUCAGCUCUGGCUCUCGGGGUUUGGCUGUCACAAUAAAGCUCUGUCACCCAAA
Long non-coding RNA from Malurus melanocephalus (red-backed fairy wren), 1353 nucleotides. RefSeq lists it as uncharacterized. Lineage: Eukaryota; Metazoa; Chordata; Aves; Passeriformes; Maluridae. The transcript is spliced from 2 exons. The record is from RefSeq and is a predicted model, not a curated record.